This 431-nucleotide ribosomal RNA is filed under the name uncultured bacterium. RNAcentral describes it as "partial 16S ribosomal RNA". It matches the Rfam family "Bacterial small subunit ribosomal RNA", at positions 29 to 507 of the family's 1533-position model. The record is from RNAcentral.
AACGAACGCUGGCGGCAGGCCUAACACAUGCAAGUCGAGCGCGCCUUCGGGUGAGCGGCGGACUGGUGAGUAACGCGUGGGGAUAUGCCCUUCUCUACGGAAUAGUCCUGGGAAACUGGGGGUAAUAGCGUAUACGCCCUUUGGGGGAAAGGUUUAUCGGGGAAGGAUUAGCGCGCGUUAGAGUAGGUGGUUGGUGGGGUGAUGUCCUGCCAAGUCGACGAUCCAUAGCUGGUGUGACAGGAUGAGCCGCCACACUGGGACUGCGACACGGACUAGACUGCGACGGGACGGUGCAGUGUGGUGUCUUAGGGAAGGGAGGCUAAUGUGAUAUCGCCGUGCGGCGGAAGUGAUGAAGGGCGUAGGGUUGUAAAGCUCUUUGAGAUGGGAAGAUAAUGACGGUAACAGCAGAAGAAGCACCGGCUAACUACGUG